This 444-nucleotide ribosomal RNA is filed under the name Arnoglossus laterna (scaldfish). RNAcentral describes it as "partial small subunit ribosomal RNA". It matches the Rfam family "Bacterial small subunit ribosomal RNA", at positions 6 to 794 of the family's 1533-position model. The record is from RNAcentral. Lineage: Eukaryota; Metazoa; Chordata; Actinopteri; Pleuronectiformes; Bothidae.
UAAAGGUUUGGUCCUGGCCUUACUGUCAACCCUAGUUAAAAUUACACAUGCAAGUAUCAGCGCCCCCGUGAGGAUACCCACAGCCACCCACUAGGUGACAUGGAGUAGGUAUCAGGCGCCACCCCCAUCGCCCAAGACACCUUGUUUAGCCACGCCCCCAAGGGUACUCAGCAGUGAUAGACCUUAAGCCAUGAGCGAAAGCUUUACUUAGUUAAGACUAAAAGGGCUGGUAAAGCCCGUGCCAGCCACCGCGGUCACACGGACAGCCCAAGUUGACAAAAAACGGCGUAAAGAGUGGUUAGGGAGACAAACUAACUAGAGCCGAAAACCUCCAAGCCUGUGGUACGCCAUCUCGGAGGAGCGAAGACCAGCUACGAAAGUGGCUUUACUCUACCUGACCCCACGAAAGCUAAGACACAAACUGGGAUUAGAUACCCCACUAUG